GUCGGUGGCCGAUUCUCCCCACCGGGCCGAGCUCCCCGCGGUGGAAGUCAGUUGAAUACGAAUCCGGCUUUGGGGACGGAUUUUAUGUUUCUGGGCCUCGUUUUCCUGGUGUGUGCGGUUUUAGAGCAUACGGUAAACGAAGCCUCUUGAGGCUCACUCGGGGGGUUCACAACGUGUGGGCCAGUGUGUGCUCCUGUCUGCACGAGGGUCACUGUUCUGUGUCAGGAACAGUCUUCCAGCCGGGCCGGGCCGGGCCGGGCCAGCAAAAUUCCCGGAGGCUCUGAUGUCCCUGCAGAGGCGCUGAGAGGCACCAGUAGGAAUCCAGCUCAGGCGUUGCUGGUCUGUCCGUAGUGCUGACGGGGGUCUCGGGGGGCCAGGGGCAGUGUGCCAGGAGCUCUCAGUGGAAGGGUGGGGAGGGUCAGGAAGGGCUUGAUGACCUCGGAAGGACCCUGAGAGUCCUGCUUUGCUUUCUCAGGUCCCUGCAAGGAGGCUCCCAAGGCAUUGGCCCCACGGAGCUGGUCUCUGCGGCCCAGGCAUCUACGUGGUGGUUUUGGACCCAGAUGGACGCCAGUAUUGUAUUGACCAUGCGCUACCAGUGACUUCACAUGGCGCAAACCUACACGCCCAACUCAAAAACCACACAGCACUCACGUUGGGGGACUCGCUGUGGUGACGUAGGUAAGCUCAGGGGACUGAGCUUAGCGGUGGAUGGAAGGGAGCAGCCCGGGGAGAUCGGAAGGUCAGCGCCCUGCGCCUCCCUUCCAGUCCCCGGGCCCGAGGAAGCGAGACACCCUGAUGUGAUGUUUGCGCUGUCCUCUGUGCACAGCAGGACGGAAGAAUGGUGGUCACCUCUGUCCAUCCUGCCUUCCUCUUCCACAAGUUCAGAAGCUGACGAAGCCAGUUCGCUUAAAGCCAAAGAUGGCUGUCAUCCUCCCGGCAACACAGAGCCAGCGGAUUGAAAGCCCCAUGAUCGCGGGCGCCAAUUCUCUAAGGAAAUCCUUCACGUGUGUGUCCUACUGGCUGUGCUUCUGUGGACACCCCGUUACCGCACUGCCCACACCCUGCAAUUCUGCACCGGUGAGAACUAGGAGACAGCUGACCUCUGCCCAACGGCAG
Molecule: long non-coding RNA, 1116 nt
Filed under: Felis catus (domestic cat)
Lineage: Eukaryota; Metazoa; Chordata; Mammalia; Carnivora; Felidae
Description: lncRNA (ENSFCAG00000051763.1)
Source: RNAcentral